This 210-nucleotide unclassified non-coding RNA is filed under the name uncultured fungus. RNAcentral's name for it is "sequence contains ITS1, 5.8S rRNA gene". The stretch from base 162 to 210 matches the Rfam family "5.8S ribosomal RNA", at positions 1 to 49 of the family's 154-position model. Lineage: Eukaryota; Fungi. The record is from RNAcentral.
UUUCCGUAGGUGAACCUGCGGAAGGAUCAUUAGAGAUGGCCGUGGUGGCCUAAAGACCCGCGCCGCAAGGCGUGAACCCAACCCAACCUGUGAACCGUCGGCUUCGGCCGUCAAACAUUACACUUCUGAAAGACCUGAAAGUGAUAUACAGAAACAAAUACAACUGUCAGCAACGGAUCUCUUGGCUCUCGCAUCGAUGAAGAACGCAGC